This 253-nucleotide ribosomal RNA is filed under the name uncultured bacterium. RNAcentral describes it as "partial 16S ribosomal RNA". It matches the Rfam family "Bacterial small subunit ribosomal RNA", at positions 524 to 776 of the family's 1533-position model. The record is from RNAcentral.
UACGUAGGGGGCUAGCGUUGUCCGGAAUCAUCGGGCGUAAAGAGCGUGUAGGCGGUCCGGUAAGUCCGCUGUGAAAGUCGGGGGCUCAACCCUCGAAUGCCGGUGGAUACUGUCGGGCUAGAGUACGGAAGAGGCGAGUGGAAUUCCUGGUGUAGCGGUGAAAUGCGCAGAUAUCAGGAGGAACACCAAUUGCGAAGGCAGCUCGCUGGGACGUUACUGACGCUGAGACGCGAAAGCGUGGGGAGCAAACAGG